Molecule: long non-coding RNA, 33861 nt
Filed under: Coffea arabica (coffee)
Lineage: Eukaryota; Viridiplantae; Streptophyta; Magnoliopsida; Gentianales; Rubiaceae
Description: long non-coding RNA (CARA_LNC006069)
Rfam family: Plant small nucleolar RNA R71 (bases 2932-3038)
Source: RNAcentral
UUUUUUUUUUUUUUUUUUGUUUUUGCCUAUAGCUUUUACUUGAGCCCCUAAUUUUUUUUUCUUUUGUCCAAUUUCUUCUUUUCAUCAGCAUUCACUCCACUGGGAAACUUAUGAAUUUAAGUUUUAGAAUUUUGCACUGCGAGCCAUCUAUCAAUGUGGAGUUUUACCCUAUUGACAGAAUAAAGAUGUGAUUAGAUUUCAAAUUGCUAGGUAAUUAAAUUACAAAUAUUUCAGAAAGGGAAGCAGGUGCUACAAGAAGAACAGGAUGAUAUAUAAUAACCGAAAACAUCAUUCAAAUUGUUUUUUUUUUAAAAAAGGUAAACUUUCUCCCUUUUUACACGCUUAGUCCUUAUAGUUUCAUAUAUUUGUAUCUCAAUCAUCGUUUCUUACAAGAUAUGCAUCCAUUUGAUCCUUAUCCAUCCAUCCAUCCUUUUUUUUUAAUAGCCUAUAGUACGCUAGAAAAGAAAAGAAUAGAAAUAUUCCUUCUAGAUAUGUAUACACAAAAGAUUGUGGUGACUUUUGCAGUAAAUGCUCAAUCGUGGGCAGUGUCUUGACUUGAUCGUGGUACUACUAUCUGACACAAUUUACAUUUAUGAGUUCUCAUUCUUUGAUUUGUCACAAGGAAAGUUAAUUAUCAUCAUUUUUCGACGAAGGAAUAUACUCUGCAUUGCAUGGGGAUAAAGCAGGUUGAAUGAAUGUGAGAUUCAAGAUACAAGGAAUUGCAACAACUAAUGUAGCAAAAAGCCAGAAAAGGUAUAAGAUCUUAAGCUUCUGAAAUUUACCCUUAACAAGAUGGAAAUGUAAUCUUGGAAUUUAUGACAUACUCAAAUUGAAAUGUGAAAGGCCCAUGGCCCACUAGAAAUUACGCGGCCCAAUGGAUGCGGCACGGCAGUUAUUCCUGGGAGUUCCAGGAUCCCCUUCACUUCACCACGUUCCAGGCAAGUCCGACCGAGCUGCCAUAUAUAUAUAUAUAUAUAGAAAAGGAAAUCUGCAAUCGCUGCCUAAGAGUAGGGGUGUACGCGAGCCAAGCUACUCGCGAGCUACUCGCGAGUAGCUUGGUUAACGACUUGGCUUGAACUCGGGUUGACCGAGUUCGAGCCGAGUUUCGAGUAGCUCGAAUGAAAAUCGAGUCGAGUUUCGAGUCAAAAAUCCCCCGCUCGAGGCUCGUCGAGCUACUCGUCGAGCCGGGGUUAUUUAAAUAAUAUAUUUAUAAGUUAAAUAAUAUAUAUGUAUUAUAAUUAUAAAAUGAUCAUUAUGGGUAUAAGUUAUAUGGAAUUUACAAAAUACCCUUCGUUAUCGAGCCUUAUCGAGUCGAGUUUCGAGCUUAGAGCGAGUACAUCGAGUCGAGUUUCGAGUAUCAAUUUUUUUGACUCGAUCGAGCUCGAGCCGAGCUCGAGCUUAGGGAUAUAUGAGUCGAAUCGAGCUCGAGUAUAGCCUCACUUCCAUGCUCUUUUAAUCACUUUUCUUUCCACAUUUCUCAAUCCAUAUUUUUCACUAUGUUUUACUCAUCUUACUCCACAAGUAGAAUUCAAGUUUCAUAUAUAUUUAUAAUCCUAUCUUCAUUCAUUUGCACACACUAAUACUUUGAUUUUUCAUCCAAAUUCACACGUGCACUUUCCUUACAUACUCACACGCUAAUACUUUGAUUUUUCAUCCAAAUUCACACGUGCACUUUCUUUACACAUGCGCACACAAACACUUUGUUUUUUUACACCAUUUCAUACAUGAAUCUUUUCAUACACUUGCACACUUGCACUUGAGUCACCAUUUGCAUCAAUCGACCUCUAUGAGGUUUCCCUUUAUUGGCCACCACAAUUCAUGUGGUUUGGGACCAAAAACCUCACAAGAGACAUCGUAGAAUUUAGGAUUGCAUUUUUUCAUUUUUGCAUUCAUAUAGGCAUAAUUCAACAUGCAAAACAUACCCUGGGUAGAAAGUCAGGAAAGUUAGGGUUAAGUUACGCAACUAGCCUUGGCUAGGUCAAAGGGGUGCCUUGGAGUCUAUCCUUGCCUUCCCCUUUGUCAAACGUGACUUCCGAACCUUUUUCUUUGUUUUACGUAGACUAGGAGUCGUUUUAAAAAGGGUUCAUUACUGCUUAACUCAUUUUUAGGUGACUUGGUACACCUUAAAUUAUUACCAAGUGGCGACUCCAAACUUUUCAUUUAAAAACCCUUUUUAAAACUAUUUUUUGGGUCAAAUCGUCGCAUUCUCAAACCCCCAUUUAGGCCCACUUUUCUUUUAAAUCACAAUUCAUUUUUUUCAAUCACAAAAAAUACAUUUUUUAAACCAUUUAUUUAUUUAUCAAAAAAUGGGGCGCGACAAGCACUCGUGACCAAGGAUCUAGUUUCCUGCUAGAGCUGAGUAGUGCUCGUGGUUAGGCAAAAGUCUCUUGAAUUGGAGGACGAAAGUUGAGGCUUUGGUUGCCAUGGUUGCUGAAAUCCUGGUGGACGAUUUGGGAAUGAAUUUUGUGGCCUGUUCCUAUAGCUGAAAUUGGGGUGAUCUCUCCAACCUAGAUUGUACGUGUUGGAGUAUGGAUCGUACUGCCUACGAGGCACGGGCACGCCUCCGGCCAUGUUUACUUGUUCAGCCCCAUCCUUUUGCAAUAUGGGCAUGAGUCAGUGGGGUGGCCCACGUUUGUGCAGAUUUCACAGACCUUUGCUUGGUGCACGUUCCCCACAACUAAUUGCCAAAUAAAAGAUGUUAGCUCCGACAGCUAUUACUGAAUGGAUGUUGUCUCUAUCUCAUUGACCCUAUGGAUAGGGUUACUCUCACGGAAGCCAAACUGUUGAGAGUUCUCUGCCAUUGCGUCAAUAAGCAACCAUGUUUCUCUCGAUGUUUUGUUCGCCAAUGCUCCUCCACUCACAGCAUCAAUGAUACUUUUGUCAGAUGACUGAAGUCCCACAUAGAAGUAUUGGAUCAAUAGUUGUUCACUAAUUUGAUACUGUGGGCAUCUAGUGCACAACUUAUUGAAUCUCUCCCAAUAGUCAUAUAGGGAUUUUUCAGGAUACUACUCAAUACUGCAUAUCUCUUUUCUCAGACUUGCAGCCCGAGAUGCAGGGAAGAAUUUUUCAAUUUUUUUUUCAAUUAGGCCCAUGUUGUGAUACUACCCGCAGGUAAAUAGUAUAACCAAUCCUUUGCUGCAUCCUUGAAGGAGAAAGGGAAAGCUCUAAGUUUGAUGUGCUUCUCAGUAAUUCCUGGGAGUUUCAUACUGGAACAUACCACAUCGAACUCCUAAAUGUGUUUAUGGGGUUUCUCCCCGAAAGACGAUGGAAUGAGUGUAAGAGGUGAAUUAAUCCGACUUCAGUUCGAAGGAGGUAUUCUCUAUUAGAGUUGGAAAUGUAAUGCACAAAGGCUGCUGGGGCAAUUCUGGAGCAACCAACUCCCUUAAUGUUCGUGCAUUUGCCAUAGGGAUGUCCUCUUGACCUGGAUCACUUGAAUUAUCACCACUCGAAUCUGUUGAUUCAACCUCAGGAUCUAGUCCCUGAGAUGCAGUGCUAGAUUGCUUUUCUCUGAGCUGGUUAGUCUCUUUCCUAGUUCGGCGCGCAGUCUUCUCUACUUUCGGAUCGAAAAACAACUCGCCUGUACGAGAAGAACAAGACAUAAACUAGAAAAAUGCUAGACAGAUCCAAAUAAAAUAAUUUAGAAAGAAACAAAAUUAACCAAAAUACCGUUCUCCUACAAUAGCGUCAAAAAUUGACAGGUGUCGAGUCUGUGUAAUAAUAAUUAAUAAAAGGUCUAAGUUACCACCACAAUUAAUUAUAGAACAAAUUCGAAUAUUUGAGUAAGAACCCUAGGUGUGUAAUGGAUUACUUGAUUCACCCUAUUUUCGAAGAGUUUGCUUAAUCUGAUAUACCAAAAUUAUCUAUAAAAAUAUUAAAUUUGCAUACAAUGUCAAGUAGGAUCGAUUCCAUAGGGAACGGAUAGAAAGUUGUUUCUUUCCAAGUCAAUAAAAUAAAAUUUGGGGAUAUUUAAUGGAAUGAAAAUAAAAACAAAAUAAACAAAAUUCAAAAGCUAAUUCAACAAGUACAAUUUACGAAAAAAAUGACAAUUAAUAAAAUUCUAUCCAAAGGAUCAACUUUUCAGGCACGGUCUAAUUAAAUGAUCAUCGAUGCACAGAUAUUUCAUUCAUCCGUCACUAGGUUGGUUAUAACUAUCUACAAGUUCUGACAACCAAUUCAUCCUUACUUUUCCGACAGUCAAGGUAUGACCAUUAACUGAUUCUCUAACCAGAAAACAACCCUAAGUACGACCGUAGAAAUUUAAUUAUCCAAUUGCAUUAAAUCUAGAAGAACCCAACCCUAACCAAUAAAAACGCUAAGAGGGUUUAUUUAAAUUAGAUCUUACGUUUUCCCAACAUACAGCAAUUACGGUGGUUGCCACUAGUUGUCAACUAAACGAACAAUUACGGAUUCAAUUUAAUUAACGUGGCAGUAGGCUAUUAGAUUAAAUUAAAUAUCCGGCCGUUGAUACUCAAUUAAUAAAAUACCCCUUAACAAUUAAUUCAGGAAACGCACGAAUAAUAACUAAUCGGAAGAAAUAAUGAAAAUUUGAUUAGAUCUCACAAAUGUUAUGGAUCACGCUUUCGCGUCGGCCUUUGGGUGGAGGAGAAAUCUAGCCACUCCUCAUCAAAUCAAUCUCGGGUGAUUUGAUUGAUUCCAUCCACACAAACAUCAAAGAAUUAGGAGCGAUGAAGUAACGAAGAAAGCAAAAGAAAAAGUCUUGAUUGUCUCUGAUUUUUUUCCUUUUUGUUCGUACUGAAGCAAAGUCAAGAAAAGCGAUAGUCUAAUAGAAAUUGUACAAAAGCCAAAGCAGCGAGUAAAUUCGUCUUACAGGGAAAGCAAACUAAAGCUAAUCUAAUAAGCCCGCGUGAUUUUGGCUUUUCCGCUGUUCGCCGCCGAAAAGAAAAGAAAACGUCUGAUCGAAGAAAAGAAACUACAAGCUAAUCUCUUAAUGUUGCGUGAAUCUGGCUUUCUUCCCUUUUGUAGCCCCCGCCAGUUGAAGCAAAGAAACGUCGGGGAGCAAGACUUUGUCUAGGAGUUUUAAUCCCAUGCAUCUCCGCGGUUCACUUUUUUUUCUGACACUAUGGGUAUCUGGGACCACCCGACUAAUCCCACAGCGCCCAGACAGAGCGGGCCGGAUCGAUACCUAGAACGUAAACAAUUAGAUUGCGGACUGGAAUCGAACUCAGGCAGACUUGGAGUAAUGACCCCACCUCCAUCAUCCGAACAACCCAGCACAGGCCAUCUCCCCGGUUCACGUCGACUUGAUUUUCUAAUUGACCCUGCUGCUACCAAUCCCGCGAGUCCUGCUUUUGGGUAUCCUUCUACAGUUUCUAACGUGGGCACGCCCUGAGAUGAAAAGUCUUCUGGAAAUUCUCUUCAAGAUACCACUUUUAACAUCAAUCGCCUACAAUUUACACAAAUAUCAAAUAUGAGCAAAAUUUUAAUACUUAACACAGUAAGUAACCAAAAUUAGGACCAAAUAACAUCGCAAAUGGUGCCCAACAAUUGCUCCAUCAAUCAAAAAUCUGCUUCCAGUUUUUUCAUUUGGAAAUGAUUGUUUCAAAGCAUUCCAAACGUGAGUGUCCCACACGUCAUCCAUAACUAUCAAGUACCUCUUUCUCAUCAAGUGCUGGUGCAACUUCAAGUCCAUAUCCUCAUCAGCCAUUUGAUAUACAUCAUCAGUAAGUUCACCACUGUUGCUUAAAAUGUCAACUAGUAACUCCCUCUUUGCAUGUCCUUGCGAAACGGAACACCAUCCACAAGCAUAGAAGUGAAGUGUAACUUUGGGAUCGUUGUACAAUUUCUUGGCUAGGGUAGUCAUACCUGGCAUGCCAACAAUGGAGACAAUAUCUCGCUGUGGGGAUCCUCUGGUCAGUUGAUCAAUUAUAGUCUCUUCCUCAUCGCUGAGAGAUACCACUUGCUCACCAGUUCCAGCUUCUGGUAUGCUGACUGGUGAUUUCAUAUGGCUAGAAUUCUGGGAGACAAUGUGGUCUCUGGCAUCAAAAGUCUUCUCCUCAUAAAUUUUGGUGGUCUACAUCUUAAUGAGUCUUAUCUCUUCGAGAACCUCAUCAAGCCACAAUACAUGCUGCCAAUGGCUACCAAUUCCAACCUCAAUCGAGUCAAUGAUAAAUUCAGCCUCAUAUGCCGCAUUUGUAACAUCUGUAACGGGAUCCAUUUGGUCUAGAUGCUCGUUGUCCAGCUUAUUGAGAAAAGAUCUCAAAAACUCCUAAUUGGAUAAAAUAUUUUCAAUAUGAUGCUUCACCAGUGCAAUAGAAUCUAGGUCAUGUUUGAGAAGCUCCCAUAGAUUUACUAAGAGAUAAUCAACAAAGCCCAAUCCAUUAGUCUUGGGGAAAUUAUGCCUUGGAUAUUUGGGGCAGGACCCUCUAAGUUCUGCUUGAUCAUUGCCAUCCCUUGUAGCAAAUCAGAAAAUGAAAGAUUCAUUUUGUCAACCUUCUCCUCUGUUUUUUGUUGACAAGAAAUGAGUAACAGAAAGAUGUAAUCCUCCUAGCAUUUGCUUCGACUUGUGUGAAGAUCAAUUCAACAUUCCCUUCAUUUUCUCUGGCUGAUUAGUGACAAAAGCUGAACACAACCUCAGCCCUCGAGUAGCGUUUCAAUCUGAUCUUUUCAAGGCUCAUCAAACUUGGAUCACUAUUCAGUAAUUCCAUAUAAGAUAUAUCUGCCUUUGAAUAGCAAAAAUCUUUAGGAGCAACAUUAAAUAGUGAAAUCCUUACCUUGUCUUAUGUAAUCUUCUUGUCACGAAAGGAUUGUUCAGGAUACUACCUCUUUGGCACUUCUUCGAUAGCACAGUAUAGGUUCUGGUUUGCCCAUGUUCCAUCGCUCCUCGGGUUGAUCUUUGGAAUAUUUUGAGGCCCUGCACAUCUCGUUAAGGUCCUCAGCUCGGCUCUUUGAAGAAAUUGUGCAACUUUUCAGUUGCUGCUUAAGGAAAACCUCUGCCUUGAGAAGAGAAUCUUUGUAUGCACUUGGGAGCUGAAGACUACCAAGUUGCAUACGCCUAGAGAAGAUGCUGCUAGGAUAGCACAGCUUUAAUUUCUUCCGAAAUGCUUUGUCCAUCCGGACUUGAUUCAUCUGGUUCAUUGAUGACGAAGAUUACAAGUUGUUUUAGCUCACCUGAAAGAUGAUUGGGCUCUCCAACAUUGAGGGACUCUGGAGAAAGAAUUGCUAAACCAUCAGCCAGGCUGCGGUUUAAUUCUGAUGAGUGCUUUCAGAAGUUGAGAUUCAACUCUAGGAUCUCUGGAGUAGUCGGAUGAAUCUCACACUGCAGAUCCAGAAGUUGGAUAAUCUUACUUUUGGCUAGGGCCGGGUCCCCCUUUCUGUUGAUCCAGUAAUGAAAAGACUCAUUUGCAAUGCGUACAGCAAGAGAUGCAAUAUGAGUGUUGAAGCUGGAAAUCAUUUGAUCACUAGGGACGUCAGAGUUCAACUAACGGAGUGCAUCUUUAAGAAACUUAUGAGAGGCAAUAAAAGGUCAUUUCUGAAGGCCUUUGAUUUGUGCUCUUUAAUCAUCGUUCUCAUCAACUUUUUGAUCACACCCUCGCGUUCAGCAAAAUCUCUUUCAGAUCUCCGAGAUAGAUACCAGAAACUGGCUGCAAAAGGAAUGAGAAAGCAAGGGAAGCUUCCACUCCAAUGAGCAGUGCGACAAAAGGUCGAGAGCUUGUCCAGUUUCUUGCUUGCAAAGAUCAAUCUUCCUUUCCCAGUCACAAAACACGUCAAUAGUUCCAGAAGCAAACUCUUUCGUGAAACAAAUUUGUCAUCGCAAAGAAUUUCAAUCUUCUAUAUUAUCUCGCUGAAAGCUGCCUUAAUUGUGUGAGGAGAGAUCCCAAAUCUGGCACAACUUUAUCUGCAUUGCUGUACUUCUGAACAUAAAUCAGCAGCUAUUUAAGAUGGUUCUAGUAAGUUGAUUCGUACCGUAGGCGAGCCAGUUUAAGUUCCAGUGCCUGGUGUUUGUGUUUGAGUCUGAGCUCAACAGUCGCUUCACUCAGCCAAUACUAUGUAUACACAUCAUCUAGUUUGUCAAUCAAUCCUCUAUGGCAGAAUUAAAGUUAUGAAGAAUCAGAAAGGGAUGCCAUCUUUGUUGGCAACACAACCAUGGUUCGAAGUCUCGGUCGAGUCGUCACCGUCUCGACCCCUACCGAUCGUACCGUGACGAUACCGAAAUAUUUGACUCGUCGAGAAUCGGCCGAGUCGUCACCACGACUGAUUGACUCGGCCGAGUCACACCGAGUUACUCUGAGUUAUCCCGAGUCAAGACGAGAAAUCAGCCGAGUCACACCGCGACGGAUUGACUUGGCCAUUUCUUUUGUUAUUUUUUAAUUAUUUUUAUUUAGCCUACUUUUUUUAUUAUUAACAUUUUUAGAAUAUUAAAUACUUUAAAAUUUGCGUUUCACCGAGACCGUGAUAUGCCGAGACCGAUGUGGAACGUUCCGGGCCGCGCCCGCGACCGCGACCGUGACUUUAAGCCAUGAACACAACCUCUCUGAAGAUCCAUUCAAAUCUCAGGAAGCAAGACACAGAGUAACUGUUCUAGAGCACCCUAUUCUGCAAGGUACUACGGUUGUUUUCUUCAAAAAAAUAUGUUAGCAUGAAACCACAUUCAGGUUUAGGAAGAAAUCAACGUCAAAGCAUUAGCAAUCAUGUUUCAUGCCAAAGCACUACUAUUUUUUUAAUAUUUCAAAAAGUAAGUUUGUAUCAAAAGUUAAAGGGAAAGGAAAUUCCAACUUUAUUCAAAAAAGUUAACUAGGCUGUUAAGUUAUUCCAACAAAUUUAUGCAGCUUCAAAAAGUUGAUGUUUCCAUUAACACGAAAAUCAAAAGCAGAAGAUUAAAUUGGAGUUAUACUUAUCAUCAAAGACUAGACCUUUAUUAUGGAAAAGAUUAAUUUAAAUAAUCAUGUGGGACUUUCACCUUUCAGUGGCAAACGAGAAAUUAAAUUCAUAUGAUGCCAUGCCCUAAACUGUUUGUGUUACACUUGCCAGGCGAAAGUCUAUUUGCAUUUACUUUUACCAGUUUGUCAUGGGUCUCUUUCUUUUUGUCCCUUUGGAUCAAUUACAAAAAAGUACCUCUUUGUUAUAUUAAUUUCUUUGUUGGUCCACUUCUUUUCUAUCAUGGAAGAAAAAUGUGCAAAUAAUUGCGUUAAUUUUCGUCCGACCCAAUAUCCAGGUGCCAAUCAUAACAUAAUUUUGUUGACCCGUUUAAACUUGCCCACCACUAAUCUUGAAUGGGUCUAAAUGUGUAUUUAAGUAAACUCAUUUAGUUGGUGGGUAGUGAGUUAAUUUGCUCACUUAUUAUACCCAUUUAAAAAAUAAUUAUAUAUUUAAACUCAACUUUUAAUAAGUAUUAAGUAAAUAAAUUUUGAUUUUUUAUCAAUUUAAUACAAUAAAUACCGUUAUCUCUUGUCAAACAACAUGGAAACAAAUUUUAAAAAAUAAGUAGAAUUUUAAGAGACUCAUUAUGGGUAAUUAGGUAUAUCCUUAUUCAUUUAUUAAAAAUGUAUAAUUGGUUUGACCUACUUAUAUCCAUUAUCCGAUUAUGACCGACUCAAACCCAUUUCACCCAUUUUGACAACUCAACAGCAAUAAAUCAAAUUUUGUGUUACAUAAUCAAAAUUUGUCAAAUCGUUAAUUCUAUAAAUCGUAAUAGUAUCACACAACAAUGUUAGAUGAAUUUAAGCUAAAAUUCCGUUUCGGAGCAAUUUAGGGUGGAGAAGUCAAUAAUAAAUGCGUCCAUUUCUUCUCUUCAAAGCCCAUUCUCUUGUCUGCGACUUUUUUCCCCCUAAUUUUUUCAAGUUUUGGGGUUUUUUUUUUUGGCCUAUUUCACGAUGGAGUCCAUCGCAUCAAUCGAAUGCAAGAGUUUUUCAGUAUUUCGCCAUUACCUCUAAGUCCAUUGAUUUAAAUUUAUUAUGAAUAUGACACAAUUAUUUCUUAGUUCCAACCAAGAAUAUCAACAUAAGCCAACCUCAACAUAAAUUUCAACAUAAACUUGCAGCAAUGAAUAGGCUGCAGAUAAAUUAAAUCUUACUAUGAGCUGAUAAUUAAUAAAAACAAAAAGUUAUAGAAGUACUUCCAUUUUACUGAAAGCUUCUUGCAAAAUGCAAAUAUCAGCUCACGACUAAAACAGACUGAGCUUUGAGAUUCAUGAUCUUAUGGUAAGUGAGGGAAUCCACGUCCAUGUCUUCCCAAAAAUCUUACAUAUGUAUUUACAUCUUCACCUGAUUGAAAAUGAAAUCUUUCUUCUAAUUAUCUGGUCAAAAUUUUUCUCAAAAUCACUUACCCUGAAAACUAUAAAAACUUUUAUACUAAUAGUUUUAAGAAUUUUCUAUUUUUUCUAAAACCUAAGACUAUUUAUAAUAGGGUAAAAUACACUAAACCCCUUGUGAUUUGGGUUAUCAUCAUAAAACCUCCUCAUUGUUAAAAACCCCCAAAGUACCCCCUCAUAGUUUGGAUUAAUUUGGGCAAUGAACGAAAAUCGUCUAAUUUGACGGAAAAUAUGAAAUUUCUAUAUUAACCUUGUUUCAAAACUUAUCAUCUUCUCCAAAUCUCCAUUUUUUCCUUCGACAACAAUAGAACAGCUACCAAUUACCACAGCCACCAUUCAACUAAAAACCCAUUCUCCUUCAACUCGGCCUUCGUCACCGCAUCCACCUCAAUCGAGCCCAUGUCCACUGGCAUCACAGUCGAUAAUAGCCCUCCCAAACCAUUAUCUGAACCUAGAGUCGCAAGCUGCAGCAGAAGUAGAAGCAGAAGCUGAAGUUGCCUCCAUUGAGUCCAUUUCCAAGUUCCGAAUUGCACUAGUCCAGCCCUCGGAAAUUAGUCCGACCCGAUCCAAUUGCUAACAGAAAUCUUAAUUGUUCCGCAAAAGAGCUCAAAAAAAGAAGGAAACGAUUUUGCAAGAAAUACUUUAAAGAAAAAGAGGACUUUUUUUUUCCAGUGCUACGUAGAAAGAAAGUACAAAUUUAAAAGCAGAAAAAGUACUCAAAAAGCUUUCCAAUGGCAGAGAGAAUUUUGGAAGAAAAACCAGAGAAACUUUCCUGGCUUCCUUUUCUCCCUCUACCCUCAUAAUAUUUUUUUUUUGUUUGCUGGGUUUGUGGAAAAUGGGUUUUUGUUUCUUGUUCUCUCACCCAGAAAGAUUGCAAAAUGCCAACGGCGCAAAAGAGUCUUUUGAUGCUUUUGCCAGAUCCUUUAAACAAUCCAUUGAAACUUUGAGGCGGUCGCAGUUAAUGGAUCUCUAUGGCUGAAAUCACUUUCCAUUCUUUUCAUUCCAUUCCGUUGAGCUCCCUUGAAUCACAAUCCAUCUGUAUUUGUUCCAAGCCCGCACCGCCUUCAAUGCCAUAUUACUCUUUGCUCAGCCUACCAAUUGAUUACAUCCCAAACCAUCUGGUAUAACCGGAGGAGGAGGAUUUGUCCCGCACAACAGCCCCGAGUUUACAACUAAAUUCAUCUGGUACAAUGAUGGAAGUGUACAAAUCAAUCUAUCAAUGGUAAUUUUUGCUGCUUCAAUUGCCAUGGUCACCACCGUCAUCGUCAUCUUCAACAUCAUUGCGUCUUAGAUUUCAUCUAAAUUCAUGUAAUUUCUACUCCAGAUCGUUCAGGAAAAAGAAAAAAAGGGAGAACAAGGAAAAAAAGAAAAGAAAAUAAAAUAAAACGUAAAAUUAUCACAUUACCUUUGAUGUAUUAUUAUCACACUCGCUUGUCAAGUGUGUGUAAUUCACUUCCCGUCAAAUUAAACGAUUUCCGUUCAUUGUCCAAAUUAAUCCAAACUAUGAGGGGGUACUUUGGGGGUUUUAAACAAUGAGGAGGUUUUAUGAUAAUAACCCAAACCACAAGGGGGUUUAGUGUAUUUUACCCUUUAUAAUAUAAUCCUAGAUAUAUAUCCAAAAUACAACAUAAUACGGAAAAUUCUUCUCCUGAGGUUUUAUCUGUUUUGAGAAGUACUGAAUUAAUGCAUUAAAGCUUUGACUAUUUUGGUGUCAUCUCCUAUAAUGUUCUAUAUAUUAUCAAGUAAGCAUUGGGAAGUAAGAUUUAACCAAAUGUCAAGUUUUUGCCAAAAUUACAACAAAUAAAGUUGAAGUAAGAUUUGACCAAAUGUCAAGCUUUUGCCAAAAUCAACUUUUUUAAAUAGAUAGUGUGCUAGACUAUUUACCUAACCAUUUUUAAAUAGACAGUGUGCUUAGACUAUUUAGCUUUAAUAUGUUCCAAUGCCACUUGAUAAACAUUUGCUGCUAUUAUAUUACUAAAUUUUUCCAUCUCUAGCUACUUAUUUGUUUCUCAUCGGCUUUAUUAUAGAAUUUUACUAUAACUCCACAAUUUGUUCUAAUAGUUGUCUAACUCAAUAUGUUCAAGAGCAUAUAAGCCAAGUAAAUUUUAUGAAAAUAUAUCUAUAGUUUUCUUCCUUAACUCCAAUUUUUUCCUUCUUUAACUCCAGUUUUUUCUUCCCGCUUAUCUUAUAAAAUAGUAAGCAUAUAAUAGUCUUAUCCCUUAAAUAGGCAUAAUUGAUUUUAAUCAUAUCCUUAAUUCAUCGUAAUAGAUAUCUUGAAUAGGCAUAAUUGACUUUAAUCAUAUUCCUAAUUCAUUGUAAUAGAUUCUUGAAAAUUAAGGGAAAAAAAGCAACAAAUUAGGAUGAAAUUUUAUAUAAUACAACGUGAAAUUUGAAGACAAUCCAAGCUUUGGUUGUAUGUCCUUGAACUCGAUAUUUUAACAAGCCAAGCCAAAUUUUUCGUGAACAUACAUCUGAAAUUUCAAACCAAGUUCCAUCAAUUUCUUUCAAAAAUUAUCAAACACAAGCCAAAUUCAAACAGUUUUUUUUAAAAUGUUCAAACAAAUCCUGAACAUACCUUUAUCUGGCUCAUUGAGCCUUAUUUUCAGCCCUAUUUAUUUCUGUUUAUUUGGUAUGUUUUGUUUGCAGAUUAUAUUUCAUUUUCAAUUAUUAGGAGUAUGUACCCUAACUUCUGGAUUUUAUACGUGCAAAAAUGGCAUUCACUUGCUUCUGAUUGCACUCAUGACACAGCAUGUUACAAUGGAGCAAUGCUUGAAGUGCUUGUGAAAGAUACAGUGUUACGUGCUUUGUCCCAAUCACUUAGUCUAUGUGACAUGGAUUUUGACCAAACUAGUUGAUAAGUAAGGAUAGUUGAAGUGACGAUGGAUGACUUCUCACAUGCUCCUACACAAUCUAUUCCUAAAUAUUUUACAUUUGGAGUCCCGGACCUUUGGCUGUUGAACUUUGGCUGAGGAUGGUAUCAUUUCCUGGAAAUUGCAAAAUUAAAUUACUAUAUCUUACAUCUCUUUCAUUCUUUUCAUUUAGUCUAGUAGUAUCAUAGGUUUUUAGUUAUGAAAAAUCCUACUUUAAAUAACAUACGACUUAUACGACAGACACAAGAUGAUUCACCUCUUGAUUUAUAGGAGUUUUCAUAUAUUUGUGUCUAUCGCUUUGCAAAUCGUAUUUUUAAAGUCAGUUGAACUCUUUAGUUAUUUUAUAGUAAUAAGCCAUGUAUGUUAAUAGUUAAUUUUGUUUGAAGUUAUUGUACUACUAAUUUGGAAAACAAACCUAGCUUUCCAUUAAUUUUUAGUAGAUUUUAAACAGAGCACUUUCAAUUAACAGAGCACAUUUUAAAUAGCGCACAUUUAAUUAGCAUCCAAUAUAAAGCUUCACUAUUAGUCCAUUAUCUUCAAAUAAGAAAAAAAAAUGCAUAAUUAAACCAAUAUAUAAAGUGUAUUAGUUAAUUAAUUAUGGAGGUGACGACAAUGCAAGGUUAUCACUGAUGUGUUGGCUACUUUGAAUCAAGUGUGACAAUUUCCUAUGUUGUGGCUAAAGAACCCCAUUCUGUGAUGAUUUUUUUUCAUUAUUGAGAUAUGUUGUUACUAAUGACCAAAUUUCUUAUAGUGCUCAAAAACUAUUUGUAUUUUCCUUUUGUUAAGUGCUUGACUGAGCUAUUGUCACUGACGACCAAAUUUCUUAUACUGCUCAAAAACUAUUUGUAUUUCCUUUAGUUUCGCCUGACUGAGCUAUGUUAAGGUUGAAUGUUGCUGAGUCGUCAUUUGGAAAUCGUGAUUAAAAAAUGCUAGAGUUCCUGAAAGCAUAGGGAGCCUCAAUUUUAAGUAUCAUUUUUAGAGAUAUUUUUGAGAGCAUUUGUUAAUUAAGGUACUUAAAUAUGGAGUUCCUGACUCUAUUCCUGCAUGUUAUACAUAUGGAGUUCCUGACUCUUGCACAUCUUAUGUCUAGCGGCAAUGAGAUAACAUCAUAACAUGUAGAAGCAGCACAUAAUGUCGAUAUAAUUACAACAAUUCUGAUAUUAUCUUUGGGAUCCAAAACUAUUUUGACCAAUUCAUGCUAUGUAAACUUUUUUCUUUUCUUUUUUUUUUAAUUUUCUCAUUGUAUGUUUCAAAGUAUAAUUAGCGAACGAAACAUUCUAAAUUUCUUAUGCUAUUUGGUUGUAUUAGUCUUUGUGGUUCGGUCUUUCACCCCAUUUUAAACUCGGAUCAGGCCGACCGAUUCGACUAGUUGAAUCGGGAACAGGAGACAUGUCCAGUCCGAGUUUGUUCAAAAACUCGGGUGACAAAGACCCGGUCAAUACCGGUCAAAACCCGGGUUUGACCGAAAACUUGGAACAACCGGAAAAUCUGGUUCUUUUUGAGCAUCCAAUUUCUGCUAUUUUUACCCAAUUUUUUUUUCUAACAUCGAAUUUCUGCUAUGUUUCUUCGAAAAUUUUCAGCAUGGAUAUCGAUCCUUGAGUGCAAAUUCGACGGCAACAGCAGUGGUAUAGUCACAUAAACUGAGUGAGCACAAAAGGAAUCUGCUUUGACAAAUAAUAUAAGCUGCAGGCAUAUACGUACCUUGGUGUUUUUCAAAUGACCCCAAGUGUGCGAGCUAAGAGAGUCUUCCCCGUACCAGAAGGUCCAUGGAUUAGGAAACCUUUCACAUGCUUGACACCAUAUCUGGGAAAUUGAGGUUUCUUAGAAAUUUUCAAGCCAAUGACGUAAUACAUAUACAGCUAACGUAACAAGUGUAAAUUUACUUUCUGGCAACGCGUGGAUGGUACAUCUCGAGGCAAUCAUCCCAGGAACAUCUCUUUAAAUGAUUCAUCAGUACCAACACCCAGUGAUUGAAAGUCGAAUUCUUUCUGCCGAAAGAUGCUGCUUGGUUCAUGCUGGUUGAGUAUCUGCAUAUAGCGGCAGCACAGCAAAGUAAAACUUGUUUAUGAUUCAAACAAAAUUGAUACAGAUCUAGAACCUCUAUUUGUAUUUCAUACUAAAUCAAUAUCAACCUUUACUCUUCUAGGGUAUGAUGUCUUGAAAAUCAUGCAUGUUUCAGCCGAGAUCAUCCCAAGCUGCAUUCCAUCCAAUCCUUUUGCCCUUCUAUAACACCUUGCAUAACUUUGAAAACAUACGGGUUCUUAUUAUACUCAAAUUUUACCUGUUGCUCAAUAGAAAGAACCUGCACAUAUUUAAGAGUAGAGUCAAACUACUAAAUUCUUAUUAAGAUCAGGAUGAUGUAGCUGUAGCUAUGUUUGGUCAGUUGACAUUGAUGAGCAAGUCUCAGAAUGAGUAUUGAUGCUUCAACUCCCUACUCUAGUCAGAUUGGCUCAAUAAAAGCCAAAAAUCCCUAAUACAGAGUCUAUGAGCAUCCAAUCUUGUACAUUUCCUCACUGCCAACAAGUGAUUAAACCAUUGGCAUUGUGAUCAUGCACUGCCUGCUGCUACUAAUCCACUAUAUCUGGUUAGCCAUAUUAUUGCAAACUUCAAAAUUUGAACAAUAAGGGAGUUAAAAAGUAAUGCAUACAUAAAUAAAAAAUUAUUUUGACAACUAUGCUGCUCUUGCUGUUAAUCAUCGUCUAAGCCCCCACCUCUGAGACCAGCUUUUCUAUAUCUACAUCAGGCAAUUUCUUUAUUGGGUAUGAAUGAUCUAGAGGUGGAAGUUCUCAUGGCCAUCAUAUUAUUGCCGAUGAUUUAUUCUGCUUUCAUCAAAUAUGGGUUACAAGACUUAAAUUGUAAACUUUGUACACAUAAAUACUACUGGAGACUACAAAAAUGCUGUUGAAUGAUACGCAUGGAUGGAAGCAUUUUAGUAAAAAUUUCUGACCACAAUUGCAAGGGUCAUAGGACUAUCCAGCACAUAGCAGCCACAGACAAGUAAUAUCUGAAAUUACUGGAAAGAACAUUACCAAUCCAUGGAUGGCAGCUCUAUUCUCUAAAUCUGACAUAAGCACCAGUUGUGGGCUCCAAACAAAUUUAAGAGAAACUCAUUUUUAACGGAAAAAAAGGGAAAAGGAAUGGUGUUCAUACCUGACCAACAUUUAUAGAUCUUAUAUGGUCACACAGACUAUCAGCAUCCACCUGCCAAACAAUAUAUUCCACACUCACCAGCCAGCUAAUGCAAAUUAAAAUGAUGCUGCAACUAAGGGCAUAAAGCAUAGACAGCAGAGUCAAAUCACAUUCACACAAGCUAAUUCAGGCCACUAAAUUGAUAUCUAAUAAAAUGAAAACAAGCAUUAACAGUUUAUGACAGAUGGUGCUUAGAAAACAUACAGAUUCUUCUUUACUUCCCGGGUGGAGAGGUGUGACAUCAAGGGUUAGUGUAGGGCUGCAACGAAUCGAGCCGCUCGCGAGCGGCUCGAGUCAAGCUUGAGUCGAGCUCGAGCCAGCUCGAGUCAAACUCGAGCUCAAACUCGAGCUCAGAAUAUUAAGCUCGCUAGCUCGCGAGCUUGAGUAUAUAUAUAUAUUUUUUAUUUUUAUUUUAUUUAAUAAUAAAAUUACGUAUAUUAUAUUUUUUUUAUUUUUUAUUUUCAUAGUGAAAUUACGUAUAUAUCCUUAAUAUUUAUUAUUUAUUCAAAAAAAUAUUAUUAUUUUUUUUUUUUUAAAAAUAAAAAUUUUAUUUUAUUUUUUCGAGCUCGAGCUCGAAAAUUGCCAGCUCGUCGAGCUCGAGCUUGGUAAAAUUUAGUUGAGACUCGGCUCGAUUAACUCAAAACUCGACUCGGCUCGACUCGUUUGCAGCCCUAGGUUAGUGAAGUGAAGUCGAAAUUUUCAGGGGGUAUAAACCUACAAUUUAAACCAAUGUAAAAAUUUUAAAAGCGAAAAGAUAACAUCAGAAACCAAAGAACAAGUACAAACAAAAAUUUACAAACGGCAAACCUGCUGAUAGAUAUUUGCAUGCCAGGAUCAACAUUUGCCAUAUUCCUUUGAACAGAAUUCAUCCCAAUGUAACCCUUUGGAAUGGAUUUAAAGCUAGUGAACACUCAGUUAAGGCACAAGCAUGUAUAUUUUAAGCUUAGCAGAUCACAAUAUACGCUCUUAGACCAAUAUUUGGGAUUUUUGGGGAUGGGAAGCAUUAACGUGCAAGAAAUAGAGGACAUGGGUACAUAUCUUAAUAUAUGGAAGCUCAAAAGGAUAUUGGAUUGACAGUACCAAAUUGUCACUUAGGCGAGCCAAACGAGGAGGAGAAGGAAAAUCUUUGAAUCGGGAACAAUCAUCAGGUCUGAAUUUGGCACUGUCCUUGGGGUUACAAUAGGCAUAGUUACUGAAGGAGCAUCCAGAGUCCGGAAUGUGUUUCACUAUCAUGGUCCAUGCUUCUUCCAUUUCUUCUGGCUACAAUAUUAGGAGAUACUCUUGCAAUCAAAGUGCAACCAUACUCAAUGUGCAUGCUAAAUACAAUAUGGGUGUUUGAAAAAUAAAAUGUAAAAUGUAUCAAAAACGAAUCAAGGUUAAAGAUUGUAGAGAACUAACAAUGUAGACCUGAAACUAUCCUAAAAAUCCAUGGCAGUAACUGGGUUUUGGAAUUAACAAAAAAAAAUAAUAACGAUAGUAUUAGUAACCUACCUGAGUCACAAAAUCCUUUGCUAAGAUUAACAAACCUUAAUGGAAUUUACCAAAUGUUUCAGAGUUCUGCUAACCUUAUUCGCUGUUAAACCAUACAGAUUAGUCACAGAAAAAGGACAUUAUUACUCAUCAUAGGACUAAAUAUUAAUCACAAAUAGAUUUACUGAGUAUUUCAAGUUCGACAGCCAUGCUGGUGAAAAUGCUGACCAUCCUAUAAUCUUCAUUCACUUUCAGAACAUUUAUGUAGGAAACUGGGAAAAACUUCAGUAGUCCCUAUAGAUUAGAGGCCUUAAUAUCGAGGCAUGUUUGUCUACUAUGUAAUGCGCAUCUGACACUCUUGGCAUUUAAGGAUCAUUAUAAGACUUACAAAGAUCAAAUAUAGUUUUGGAUAAAUUUGACCAGUUUGGAGAUUCUAGAGGCAUGAGUAAGACAUAAUCUAUCUAAAUGAAGAGUGCUUUUAGUAGUAUUAAGUGAAAAUGCAGUGCACUGGCUUCUCUUGAUAAAAAUAAGAAAGGCAAACCGUGAAUGUCUUCCAACAUGAGACCUUGCUCGGUUGAAUGAGCAUUAAAGCUACACGUACUGGCUUUCAUGGAUCAGCUUAAUUAUUACUGAAGACCUUUCUCACAAAAAUGCUUCCUCCUAGCAUUUAGACUCUCAUACUAAACUCCUAAGGCCACACUUUCACGGCAUUGAAUUUAGGGAACUGCAUCUUUUCGAAUAAAUUAGGACUACAAGUUGAAGACAAGAAUUAUAAACAAAAAUUUAUGAAGUAAUGUACAAAUUUUAACGCCUCUAUCCUCCGGCAAUAGCCACAAGAGUCAUCAUUUUAAUAAUUGCAUUGGUUGUUAAUGGACGAUACAAAUUUUCUUUCUCGUUUAAAGCAAAUAGAAGACUUCGAAACCUGGGGAAUCUAAGUCAUGGUGGAAACAUUUAUUACUUAGUCAAUAUUCCUCCUCCACCUGAGACUGUUUCGCUAAGAAUUAGUCAUCCGAGCUGCAUAUCAAGCAUGCACUUCUAGCAGGACACAAAAACCAUCUAAAAGAUUCAUUACUCUAGAAAAGAUGAGCAUCAUCCCACAGAAAACAUUAAUAAUAAUACUUGGUGAAGCAAGUUGGCGUGGGAGUAAAUUCUUACCUGCUUUGCUUCCGGAAGAACCAAAGGUGGAGAGAGGAAGCUGCUGUCUCUUGAGAGAGAGUGGAGAGCAAAAGCCUUUUGCGGAGGUUUAAACUUAGCUUUCUUCUCCCAGCUGGACCACUGAAUCGGGGAGUGGAGUAGCAAGGAAAAGAACGGCCUCCAGUCCAGUCCAGAAUGCAUGCCUGGGCAGGAGAGGGGAGACAUUUAUUUGAUAGUGACGACAUUAAUUUUAGGACGUACGACUCUGUCUUUUUUAGCUACUUAUAGGCCUGUUUGGAACCUCAGUUUUUUGGGAGUUUGUCUAAAACUUUACUGUAGUGCACUGUAGAAGUUUUGAAAAAAUUUUGUAGAAAUUUUUGUAAGGUGAAAAACUUUUUUGUAGAAGUUUUUGAAAUGUUACUUUAGACGUUUUUUGGAUUAUUUUUAGAGGUAUUUUAAAACAUAUUUUUGAAUAUUUAUAAUUUAUAAUUUUUAUAUUUUUAAACAUUUAUGCAUUUAUAAUACAUUUAUAAAUAUUUUAUAUAUUUAUAUAAAAAUACAUAAAUGUAUUAUAUUAUAUAUAAUACGUAUAUACAUAUAUAUAAUUUAUAAUUUAUAAAUGUAUAUUAAUAUAAAUGUAUAAAUUAUAAAUGAAUAUUAUAUAAAUGUAUAAUUAUAAUUUAUAAAUGUAUAUGAUGAUUAUGUAUAAAUGUAUUUAAUAUAAUACAAAUAUAUAAAUGUAUUAAUAUUAUGUAUAAAUGUAUAAUUAAUAUUGUUUAUAAUUUAUAAUUUUUAUUGUUUAAUUAUUCAUAUGCAUUUAUGCAUUUAUAAUACAUUUAUAAAAUUUAUAAAUAAAUAUAUUAUAUUUUAUUAUUAAAAAUAUAUAUUUAUUUAUUAUAUGUAAUACAUAAUAUACAUAUAUUUAUAAAUGUAUAAUUAAUAUAAAUGUAUAUAUUAUAAAUGAAUAUUAAUAUAAAUUUAAAUUAUAAUUUAUAAAUAUAUAUGAUAUUAUGUAUAUAUGUAUAAUAAUAAUAUAAUAUAAAUGUUUAAUAUUAUGCAUAUAAAUGUAUAAUAUAUUUAUAAAUUAUAUAAUAUGCAUUUAUAAUAAAUAAAUAUUUAUAUAGUUUAUAAUUAAAAUAUAUGAAUGUAUUAUAUUAUAUAUAAUACAUAAUAUAAAUAUAUUUUCAAAUGUAAUAAUUGUAUAUUAUUAUAAAUGAAUAUUAUAUAAAUAUAUAAAUUAUUAUAUUAUAAAUAUAUAAAUAUAUAAUAUUAUGUAUAAAUGUAUUAAUAUAAUUAAUAUAAAUGUAUAAAUGUAUUAGUAUUAUGUAUAAAUAUAUAAUUAAUAUUGUGUGUUAAUAUUAUGUAUUAAUGUAUUAUGUUAUACAUAAUACAUAAUAUAAUUGUAUAUAAAUAUACAUAAAUAUAUAUACAUAAAUGUGUAAUAUAUAUAAUAUGUAUUAUAUAUAUUAAAUGUAUAAUAUAUAAUAUUUAUAUAAAAGUAUAAUUACAUAUUUAUAUUAAUAUUAAUUUAUAUGGUAUAUAAUAUUUAUAUAAAUAUAUAAAUAUAUUUUAAAUAAAAUAAAAUAUUUAUAAUAUGUUUAAAUAAAUAUAUAAUAUAUAUAAUAAAUUUUUGAAAGAUUUUGAGGUUACCGGCGGCGCCGGAAUAGGUAACCGGCACCGGGAGAGGUGGUGGAGGCGGUGUCUGGUGUGGUGGGUUGGAUGAGGGAGGAAGAAAAUUUUUUGAGAAAUUUUUUGAAUAUAGAUUAUUGAAGUGUGUAGGUAAAAAAUUUUGAAAAAUUUUUUGAGAUUCUUGUAGCAAAAGUUAUUAAAAAACUAGUAGCUAAAAAAUUUGGUAAAAACUUGGCACCCUAGUUUUUUACCAAGUUUUUUGGCUACUAGUUUUUUAAUAACUUUUGCUACAGGAAUCUCAAAAAAAUUUUCAAAAUUUUUUACCUACACACUUCAAAAAUCUAUACACAAAAAAUUUCUCAAAAACUUUUCUUCCUCCCUCACCCAACCCACCACACCAGACACCGCCUCCACCACCUCUCCCGGUGCCGAUUACCUAUUCCAGCGCCGCCAGUAACCUCAAAAUCUUUCAAAAAUUUAGUAUAUAUAUUAUAUAUUUAUAAUAUUAUAUAUUUAUAUAUUUAUUUAAACAUAUCAUAAAUAUUUUAUUUUAUUUAAAAUAUAUUUUAUAUAUUUAUAUAAAUAUUAUAUACCAUAUAAAUUAAUAUUAAUAUAAAUAUGUAAUUAUACUUUUAUAUAAAUAUUAUAUAUUAUAUAUUUAAUAUAUAUAAUACAUAUUAUAUAUAUUACACAUUUAUGUAUAUAUAUUUAUGUAUAUUUAUAUACAAUUAUAUUAUGUAUUAUGCAUAACAUAAUACAUUAUACAUAAUAUUAACACACAAUAUUAAUUAUAUAUUUAUACAUAAAACUAAUACAUUUAUACAUUUAUAUUAACUAUAUUAAUACAUUUAUACAUAAUAUUAUAUAUUUAUAUAUUUAUAAUAUAUUAAUUUAUAUAUUUAUAUAAUAUUCAUUUAUAAUAAUAUACAAUUAUUACAUUUAUAAAUAUAUUCAUAUUAUGUAUUAUAUAUAAUAUAAUACAUUUAUAUAUUUUAUAUAACUAUAUAAAUAUAUUUAUUUAUAAAUGUAUUAUAAAUGCAUAAAUAUAUAUAAAUAUUUAAACAAUAAAAAUUAUAAAUUAUAAACAAUAUUAAAUAUACAUUUAUACAUAAUAUUAAUACAUUUAUACAUUUAUAUUAAUUAUAUUAAUACAGUUAUACAUAAUCAACAUAUAUAUUUAUAAAUUAUAAUUUAUACAUUUAUAUAAUAUUCAUUUAUAAUAUAUACAUUUAUAUUAAUUAUACAUUUAUAAAUAUAUGUAUAUUAUGUAUUAUAUAUAAUAUAAUACAUUUAUAUAUUUUUAUAGAAAUAUAUAAAUAUAUUUAUUUAUAAAUAUUUAUAAAUGUAUUAUAAAUGCAUAAAUGCAUAUAAAUAUUAAACAAUAAAAAUUAUAAAUUAUAAACAAUAUUAAUUAUACAUUUAUACAUAAUAUUAAUACAUUUAUACAUUUGUAUUAAUUAUAUUAAUACAUUUAUACAUAAUCAUCAUAUACAUUUAUAAAUUAUAAUUUAUACAUUUAUAUAAUAUUUAUUUAUAAUUUAUACAUUUAUAUUAAUUAUACAUUUAUAAAUUUAUAAAUAUAUGUAUAUUACGUAUUAUAUAUAAUAUAAUACAUUUUGUAUUUUUAUAUAAAUAUAUAAAAAUAUUUAUAAAUGUAUUAUAAAUGCAUAAAUGUUUAAAAAUAUAAAAAUUAUAAAAUAUUCAAAAAUAUGUUUUAAAAAUACCUCUAAAAAUAAUCCAAAAAACGUCUACAGUAACAUUUCAAAAACUUCUACAAAAAAGUUUUUCACCUUACAAAAAUUUCUACAAAAUUUUUUCAAAAACUUCUACAGUGCAUUACAGUAAAGUUUUAGACAAACUCCCAAAAAACUGAGGUUCCAAACAGGCCUAUAAGUAGCUAAAUUUAAUGGAUUCCGUUUUAAUCCCUCUCUUUUUCCUCUCUAUUUGUUAAAUUUCAUCCCUAGAAAAAUUGAAAGAAAGAAAAAAAAAUCUCUGAUGGACUGUUGGUAAUAUGCAACGAAUGUCAAUCGGCAGAACUUCAUAUUAGUUUUUGUCAAUUCACAAACAUCCUUGAAGAUGUAAUACAUUGAUCAAAUUUCCCAGUUCCUAGGUUGAGAUGAAAUAUUUAAUCAUUUUAUUAGCAUAGGUUUUCCGGCACAAACCAAACAAAAGAAAAUUAAAAAGAGAGAGAGAGAGAGAGAGAGAGAGACAAUCUUCAAUUCCUAAGUUCCAUGAUUCGUGGAAAACCAAACAAAAGAAAAUAAAAAAAAAAAGACAUUCUUCAAUUCCUUAAGUUUCCAUCAAUUAAACCGUAUGGUAAAUCACCGGUCCGUGGUCAGUCUCAUAAACCAGACCAAACGUUAGUACUCCUGUCUCCUGAUAAAACAAAACGGGGCAGCUCAAAAAAUUGUCAAAAAGUCAAAACUUUAACGUUGGCUCUCUCAAAAAUUCAAAAAUAUUCCUAAAAUAAACCUCCCAUCAACUCCACGUGGCCAAAUCUCAUCCGUCAAGGCAGCCAUCGUCAGCCGGUCAUUUAACCCAUAGGGCUUAAAACUCCUCCCGUCCCGACUCCGCCCCUUCCACAUUUGAAUUCUCCGGACCGUUUUUUCCCCAUUUUCUCUGUCUAAAACCCUUCACUCUCUCCCCUCACUUUCUCUCUUUAACCCCUUCGCCCCCCCUCAUAGAUCUCUUCUUCUCAAUCCGUUUUUCUCCACACCUAUACAUACAGCUGUAUGUACGUAGAUAGCAACAAUUUUGAGAUCUGCUAUGCGCGUUGAUUUGAUUGGAUCAUUCGGGAUUCUGGGUUUCUGCAAGGUUCGAUUUAAUUUUCUGAUUUCGGUAAGUUUUUGUUUUGGGAAAUUUCUUUUCUUUUCUGUGGUUGCUCAAUAUUAGCGGGGAAUUGAAUUAAUGGGGGGGUUUUUGAGAAUUUGAAUUUUUACCUUUUUUGUUUCCCUUAAUGUUGCGUUUGGUUCAUAGCUUUUGAUUUGAUGAAAAUUUCUUGUUUUAGUUCAUUAAUUGUUUGAAUUCGUAGCUGCAAUCCAAAAUACUGGUGAUUUUAGCUAAGAAUCUGAAGUAAAGCUCGAAUUCUGAAAAUCUGUGGUUUGAAUUUCUUGUAUGGUUUUUCAUUUAUUAAACCCUAUUUUUUUUUUUAAAAAUAGUUGAAUGCUGUUUGGAGAAGAUGAACAUCUUUAAUCUAAUUCAAAUUAAUGUUUGUGAAGAGUCAAAAUUUCUGAAUUUUGUUUAAUGGAAAUUUUCAUUAUGAUGGGAUAUCUAGCGAAAUUUUCAGAAUUGUGAAAUGUUUUUAGAAAGCAACACAUCUUUUUUUUUUUUUAAAUGUAUUUAUUUGUUGAUUCUGAUGUAGUUUGUUUAACUGUAACUCGUGUUGUUGGCUUUUUACUGCAGUUAUUAGAAGGAGGAAACUUUUAGGAUAUCAUUUCCAUACCUUUUCUUUGCCUCUUUUUUGGGUUCGGUUCUGACUUAUGAUUCAUGAACAUGAUUUAGCCUCUGAUUUAUCCUGCAAAGUCUUUGGGUGACCUAUAAUGCAUUGGGGGAGACAGUCUGGGGACUAUUGCAGACGUGUGGGAAUUGGGAUAUGCAGAUUUGCGCCUUUGUCAAUCAACUAUGGAAAGUGAUAGGACAAGCACCACUCGUUCAGACGGAGGAAGUGAUAGUCUACCUAGAGUUCGACCUGCACAUGGGUAACCUCUUUAAAUUUUUUGAAACAUCAGAUUUUUUAAUUGAAUUAGAUUUGGCCUUUCAAGUUUGCUAGUUAGUUUGAUAUAACUAAGGAGUUCAUUUAUGUUUUCUUGCCAAAGUCUGUAGUCAUGUCUGGAAAUUAGUGGACCUUAGAUAGCAAUUUUUAUUGGUAGUCAAGUUUCCAUAUUCAUAUACUUGGUGUUCAUGUUGGUCAUUAGUUAUGUCUUCAUCAAAGUGCAUAAGAAAUUCUAUACUCAUUCUCUGUAUUUUGCUUUUGAACUUUUGGUCUUGCACAGAAUUCUAAUUUUAUUUCACUUCUUUUUACCACUUCUAUUGUUUGCUCUUACAAUCUGUUACUGCAUAAGUUUGUAUGAUAGAGAACUAUAGAAUGCAGUUUCAUUAUGGUCUGAUGCUACUGAAUGGUACUUGUAACAAUGUGCAACAUUUUAUAGGAGGACCAGUGGUCCUACAAGGCGCUCCACAAGGGGACAAUGGACUCCAGAAGAGGUAAACAUUCGUUUUCUUUCAUACAUUAGUUAUGUAGGAUCAGUCUUGGUAACUUUCUGGACCGUUGUUUCUAGAAGAUGCAAAUAUGCUUUUCUUAUAUUAAAGAUGGCGUAAGUCCCUCAUUUGCAGCUUCAAGUUGCUAGUUUAAUCAAUGCGAUCAAAACCUUAAUCAUUGUGGACUACUAACAAGUUUGAUGAAGUUUACCUCUUUAGUGUGCUCUAUUCUGAAUAUCUAAUAAUUGCAUGCCUGGAGCAUAUUUUUGACAGUUUUCACUCGUGUCACUGUAAUUCUUCCUUCUAUUCUUUGCUCAUUUUUUCUGUUCUGAUUGAUGAAUGAACACCUAGGCUGCAUAAUUGAAGUUAUUUUUCUCCUCUGAUUUCUUCAAUUAUGUUCUCUUUUUUCCACUUAUGUGCCACUAUCAGAAACUGCCAAGUUUUUCUAAGGACGGUUUGAUUAGUAGCUUGUUAUUGAAAAUAUCUGAGAGCCAUUUUAUGUCUUAAGAUUGGCUUCCUGUAUGCACAAUAUAGCACUUAGUAUACUAAAAUGGGCUCCCCACCGACAAGGCAAAGCUCUGCUUUUGCUCUACCUCCUGGGGAUUAUUAAGGGUGCCUUUUCUUGUUUGAGCUUUUGCUUUUGCUUCAUUUGGUCUCUUUCUGAACCUUUGUGGGCUUAAAAAGAAUAUCCCAGAAAGAGUGAGGGUCUCUCGGGGAGAGGCUCAAGCGUCAGCCUUCGUUGACUCGCUCGAAAGAGAGAGCCAAAAACAUUUUCUUAUUUAUGCUUUGAAGUGUUUAGCUUUUUCAGAACCUCGCCACUUGUGACUUUAUGGUGGCAAGCAUUGAGAUUGGUGUUAAAGUCACGUGCAAGAAGCAUCCCUUGCAGAUUUAUUAUUCUUAUCAUUCUUGCUCCUAUUUAUGCGCCCACCCUUCUAACCACCGACUGUAAAUGCAUAUUGGCAUGAAUAGCUUUGCUUUUUGUCAACUCCCAGUGGAAACUAGCAAUGCUGUAACCAUUAACCAAGUCUGGGCUUUGAUGUAUUUUCUUAACAACAUUUUUACCUGCAGGACGAGAUAUUGAGACAAGCUGUACAACGUUUCAAAGGGAAAAACUGGAAAAAGAUAGGUACAUUGUUUCCUGUAAAUUAUAUGAGCCUAGAUGCCUAGUGCCUAAAAAGCAAAAGAAGUAUGUAUAAGGUGUUGCAUGUUUUCCUAUCCGCUAUCCCAUUAGAUUUAGUGGGUAUGCAUUGGGAAAUAUUUGAUAGAGCAGGAUAAUCUAGGAUAUUGUAAAGAAAAAGAGAAAUGAUUAUUGAUCUCUUAUUGACAAGUUAAAAUUCUAAAUUAAUUUUCUAUUACCUAUUCCUUCAUCAACACUUUUUAACCUUUUACAUAAUAGAAUAUAAUCUGCACAAGGAAUGUAGAAAAACCUUUUAGAUAGUAUUUUAUCAGGGAAAGUGGGAAACAUGUUAAGAAUGAAGCUUUGCUUUAUGCAGCGGAAUGUUUCAAGGAUCGGACAGAUGUGCAGUGUUUGCACAGGUGGCAGAAGGUUCUCAAUCCUGAACUUGUUAAAGGUCCAUGGUCUAAAGAAGUAAGAUGCUGUUAUUUUUGCUUCCUUGGAAAGUUGGGUUUGUUAACUGUCUAAAAUCCAUGUUAUUCAUCAACAUUCUGUCAGUUUUAAAAGUUUAUGAUUGUCAAGUAACCGUUUCUCUAAAUGCAGGAAGAUGAAAUAAUUAUUGAGUUAGUGAACAAGUAUGGGCCAAAAAAAUGGUCCACCAUUGCACAACAUUUACCUGGACGAAUAGGAAAGCAGUGUCGGGAAAGGUUAGCUAGCUGCAAAUAUAUAUUAGGUUACUUCUUACUUUACCAGAAUUUCUGCUUUGUGGAAUGCUUUAUGUCUUUCUAGAGUUAAACUAAGUUAAAAGCGAGGAAGCUGCUUUUGCCUUUUCAUCUUGAUUACCAUGUCUCAUCAUGUUUCCUUCAAUUUUGUAUCUCUUCAAAAUGGGAAAAAUUUGAUGUUGCUGGCUACGCAUUUAUGGAAGAAGCUGUAUCCAGACAAAUUUAUGGCAGUCUUUUGGGUUCUUAUGAUAAAACUAUUUCAUUAUCCUCUCCAGCCUGUGUCAUUUUUUUCAUUGAAUUGUCCUUUUGGAGGCUAUGCAAAAUUUUCUCAUUUCUGGUUCAGUAUAACUUAUUUUUAAAGGCAAAAUAUUGACACAAGGAUUCAGUUUUGUGAUAACCUGAAUGUUGCUUUCUCAUUACAUUGAAGUACUUUUUAUGUGAUUAAUGUGGAUCAUCUUUCUUAGAACUGUGGAUUGGCUACUUUACCACCUUUCCUGUUUGAACUACUAGUUUUGCUUUUAGUAAUUUGAUCAGUCUAUUUAAGUCUCUAAGAAGAUAAUUUCAAAUAAUGUGGUGGCUGUCAAGUCAUCUUUUCAGUUUGGGGACCAUAUUUACUGAUAGUAAUUUGAUUAGUCUAUAUGAGUCUCUAAGAAGGUGCUUCUAAUUUCUUCUAUUUACAUAGUUUAUUCUCUUCUUUUCAUUUUAUAUGAUAAUUAGAUGGCACAAUCAUCUUAAUCCUGGGAUCAAUAAAGAAGCUUGGACACAAGAUGAGGAACUGGCUCUUAUUCGUGCUCAUCAAAUCUAUGGAAACAAGUGGGCUGAGCUGACAAAGUUCUUGCCUGGAAGGUACUUUCUUUUACUUAGAGGGAGGGGGAGACGGAGGGGGAAAUAUGCAUUUCAGUAGCCUUUCUGGAUGUUAUUGCGGAAUUCGAUGCUUUACCUUCUAUCUAAUCCAUCUUGGGUUUUAUGAUCUUGAAUUUGUUUUGUUUGCAUGAGUUCACAUUGAGUUUGACCUUACUGAUUUUGGGACUAUGUCUCUAUGAUUAUCAGGACAGACAAUGCAAUUAAGAAUCACUGGAAUAGCUCAGUGAAAAAGAAGUUGGACUCCUAUUUGGCAUCAGGAUUGCUUGCACAGUUCCAAGGCCUGCCAAAUGCCAUUCAUCCAAAUCAAUCUGCAGCUGCUGCUUCUUCAAAGACACAGCAGAGCAGUGAAGAUGAUAGUGUUCCCCGAGAUGGUGCAGAAAUGGAGGAUGUUUCACAGUGUAGUCAGGGUUCUACUGCUGUUGGAUGUUCAAGCUCUACAAGUGAGAUGGCCAACACAAAUGUCUAUGCUAGAGAAGACUGCUUUGAACAUAAUUUGCAAGACUGGGAUCCUUCCAUAGGGAAAGAUUGGCAACUUACCCAGAAUGAAUUGCCGGACAUGUCUUCAUUGGAUUUAGGGCAGGAAGCUUCUGGACAAUUUAUGCUAUCUUCAUCCGGGCAGUUUAUCCAUGAAUUAGUUAACUUUCCGCUCCAAAGUUCUAUGGGUUUAAGUAAUUCCACUUCCAUGGUAAACAUGGUCUUGGGUUCUGAUAAACCAGAUCAAUUCUUAACCACUGAAGUUGGAUGUUCUAGGAUUGUGUACCCUGAAGUCAGAAAUGAUGGUUCUUUUGCCCCUGAAAGUAGUCCAGUUAAUGAAGCAACAGAUUCUCUGCUAUACCAAACAUCAAGCUAUCAUGUAACUUUCCCAUCUCAAUCCUGCAACCCUUUGCAAUCUGAUGUGCUGGGAACUUCAUUUGGGGAACCAUUUUCAGUACCUUCACAACUGCCUUCUGACGAUGGAUCACUUAUAUUCAAUAUUGAUCCAAAUCUCUUCAAUGAUUCUUCAGUCGGAAACUCAGAAAAGGAGUGUUUUACAGGUAGAUAUGAUGGCUUUAUCUAUAGCAAUGACUCUGGUGGUUCUACUAAUAAUCAUACUGAAUUUGGGAUGCUAGUUCAACCAGUGGAGGGAAAGGAUUCUGCAAAACUUGUUCCUGUUAAUGAUUUUGGCUUAACACCACCAAAGGACAUUCAGACUUCUCCACCUGUGGAAGAACACCCUGUCAUAUCUGAUGAACAGAAGGAUUCAGGCGCUUUGUUUUAUGAACCCCCACGCUUUCCAAGCCUGGAUGUCCCAUUCUUUAGUUGUGAUCUCAUUCAGUCUGGUAAUGAUAUGCAGCAGGAGUACAGCCCUCUUGGUAUCCGCCAGCUCAUGAUGUCUUCUGUGAAUUGUCUUACUCCAUUUAGGUUGUGGGAUUCACCAUCAGGGGAUGAUAGUCCAGAUGCUGUUCUCAGAAGUGCAGCGAAAACAUUCACGUGCACACCAUCCAUAUUGAAGAAGCGGCAUCGUGAUUUGGUUUCACCCUUGUCAGAAAAGAGGUGUGAGAAGAAGCUGGAAAGCGAUGUAAAUCAGGAGUCAUUCUCUACCUUGACCAGAGACUUUUCUCGACUAGAUGUUAUGUUUGAUGAAACCCAGAAUGAAAACCAGUCGAUGCUUUCUCCAACAAACCAAGGAAGCAAUUGUGAAAUGUUGUUAACUGAGGAUAAAGAAAACUUAGUUCCUGCCACCACAGAGGGAGACAAAGAGGAUGUAAAGGUUGAUUCUCCAUCUUCGGCAAAUAUAGUUUUGGAGAAACAUACCAAUGCUAAUUUUCCUCUAGACAAGGUGAGGCAACAGACUGGUGCAAUAGAUAGUAAAAGUCUUAACAAAAUCACAUGCACUUAUUGAAACUGUGAGAAUUGAGUUCUUUCUAAGUUUUGUAACAUUUCUUUCAGGUGAGUUUGUUCCAUUAGUGUAGGCUGAAAAUGACACCCACCUAAUUUUGACCCUUAUCUAAUAUAGCAUUUAGCAGAUUGUAAAUAUUUGGAUCUUUAGUUUGUUAGACAAAUGAUUUCAGUCAAGGGGUGGUCAGUCACCAUUUGUACUCUUAACCUUCAAAUUAAACUCUUGUUAAAAUUGGUUUCAGAUGAACCCCUUCUUUUCAGGCUAGCUGGUUUUAGGAAAUAGCGCAUAUAUUCUAGCUGAUGUGCCAUAUUCAGGAAUUGACUUAAUUAUUCUUUAUACAUAACUUUUAAUUUUUUCUUAAUUUUAUUUCCUUUUUCCUCUUUUUACCCCUUUUUUCUUUUCUGUUAUUCAGAUGAACCAGCCUUCUGGUGUCCUUGUUGAACAUGACAUGAACGAUUCUUUAUUCUUCUCUCCUGACCGAUGUGGAACAACAAGUGAUAAAGCAUUUGGUCUGAGUGCUAAAGCAUGUGGUAACAAGUACUCUGGAAGACUAGAUGCUGGAUUGCACAAAGGAGCAGCUUCAUCAGAGACUCGAUGUUUGUCUAUUGUUUGUUCACCUCGGAUAUCUGGAAAGAAGGAUGGUCUUAAUGUGGUCACCACUGCAUCAAUGCAAGUAGCUUCCUCAUCAACCCCGAUGGGGAAGAAGGUUGAAACUUCAGGGAACAUUUGUGGUGUUGAAAACAUUAGCAUGUACGGUGACUGCAGCUUUUUACUUCUGAAUCACUUCAGUUUCUUUUAUUAGCCUUCUGUACAAUUAGCUGCACCUGAUUAGUAGUUUUGUUUUCUUUUUUUUUUUCCUUGUAGAUUUGGAGAAACACCUUUUAGAAGAAGUAUAGAAUCUCCUUCUGCCUGGAAGUCCCCGUGGUUCUUUAAUACUUUUCUGCCAGGCCCAAGAGUUGAUACAGACAUCACAAUUGAGGUACUAAACAUUCUGAGAGAUAGUUGUUUUGCACCUUUGAGUGGGUGCUUUUAGCUGUUUCUUUUUUGAGUUUGAUUGUGAUGGCUGAAAUAUUACAGGAUAUUGAGUAUCUUAUGAGCCCUGGCGACAGAAGCUACGAUGCUCUUGGGUUGAUGAAGCAGUUGAGUGAGCAUACUGCUUCAGCAUUUGCAAAUGCACAGGAAGUUUUGGGGGAUGAAACUCCUGAAACCAUACUGAAAAAAAGCAGCAAAAUCCUGAAUGCUGAUAAACAGCAGAAUGACCUUUUGAAAUGUCAACAGGAGCAUCAUUCAACCGUGGGAUCAAAUGUCAUGGUAUGGUUAAAUUCCAAUAUUGCUGAUGAAAUUAUCCCUUAAAAAAAAGGUGUGGUUUAAGAAAGUUGAAAGCAUCUACCAACUUUUGAGUUUUUUGUCCACUCCACCACAAAAUAAAACUAUCCUAAGCUGGAGCCUCUGCUCUGUAUAAUCCAUCUUCAGAUUUCUGCUUCAGCUGUCUUGGUAUUCUCUAUUACAUUUUGGUCAGAUACAAGAAGCACACUUGUCUUUACUGCAUGCCGCCUCUAGAUUCAACAGGAGCAUGGAUAGUACACUGUUAUUUGUCCAUUUCAAAAGCUUAUAUUGUAUACACUGGCAUUUGCAGACGGAGUGCCGAACACUCGAUUUUAGUGAAUGUGGGACACCUGCAAAAGGAGCGGAGACUGGGAAAUUGUCAACAGGUGUUAGCUUCUCAAGUCCCUCUUCGUAUCUGUUGAAAGGUUGCAGGUAAUGGUAGCACUUGCAGGUUCCUGCAGAAGUGUAUAGUGGCAUUUGCUGACAGAGUGGAGAGCUCUUGAUUUUAGUGCUGUGAGACACCUGGAAAAGGAGCAGAAACUGGGAAAUUGUCGAUAGCCAUUAUAUUCUCAAGUCCUCUUUGUAUCUGUUGAAAGGUUGCAGGUAGCAGCAGCAGCUGGCAGGUUGUUACAGCAGUGCUUGCUGGUGUAUAAAAAUGAAAGAUGUACACAGUCGUGAUUCUACCAUUCUAUAUAGUUCCUAGAACCAUAUCUUGUUAAGAUUAAUGUAUUUUGUGAAAUCAAUUGUUAAAGAAUGUUCUUUGGCGUCCAAUAAACAAUGCUUGCACUUGAGUUAUAUGGACAAACUUCAUCGUGAAUAGGGACAACAAACAGAUAUUGCUUUGUCUCUUCCAGUUCUAUUUUGGGGCUUGUCUGCCUGUGGUAAUGUCAGGUUUCAGCUACAAAUUGUCUGUCCUUAUAUUGCCUUGUCCAUUGUGUCCCUUGCCAUAUUUGCAGCGGUCGAAACAAAUCCUAACGUGGCUGCUUGCCUCUGUCCAAGUGUUGGUUCGGUUUCUAACUCCAGUUAGAAAAGCCUAACAUUGCCGCACAUCAGUAAAUAUCACCCAGUUUUUUUUUUCCCUUUUUUUGCUAGACACAAUCUUUAUAUUCAUUUUGGUUGGUUCCAAAAUGUUUGUCACUUGCCACAAAUGAUUGUGUACUUUAUCAAUAAUUUCCAAAGCUUACCCCUGUCUCACCUAACUAAAAAGUACCCAAAAAGUCUUCUACCAAAACUUGCAACUUUGUUAUUCAGUUGAUUGAGAUGCACGUACUACUAACCAUUUUGAAAUGAUUGCCUUUUCGUGUUUUCACACUCUAAUUCUAGCUAGAAUAAGUCAUGUGAACCAAUAAAUAUAUGGACUCUGCUGUCAUGUUUUGUCCAUCUAUUAUCCAUCUUUUUGUGUUCAAAUGAAGGGCAAAAUGGAAAGUGUGAUGAAUUCUUCAAAAAUUAGACACUUGUUGAUAAUAAGUUGUCACUUUUCGGGACGGAGGGAAUAAUUAAUUAUAGUAACAGUUGAAGUUUAAUUAAAUAGCAUGCUUAAAAAACAAAAAAGGAAAAUGAUUCUUUAUAAAUACGUGAAAGGCAAACACCAAGAUCCACAAAGGGAAGUAAAAGGAUUUGCUAGAGCUUACUCUCUUUAGCAAAAGAAGUUGUGAUUAAAACUGUCAGUUAUAUUAUAUUAUGUUUGUCUUUAAAAAUAAAACUAAUGAAAAGAAGUUUCUUAAGUUGAGAUGGACUUGUGUAGAAAAACAGUCAAAUAACAAGCUCAGUCAUACUCUUAAGAAAACAGCAGCACAAAGAUCUUCGUCAACUUCUGUGAUAGGAAAAAAUUGGCCUCAGAUGCCAUUUCAUUUGAUUGUAAUAUGUAAAGUAGAUAGGAUUAAUUAAAAUUAUAAAUGAUGAAUUCAAGUUAUAUACUACCCUUGUGACAUAUAGAUGCGACAUAUAGAUACUAGAUGAAUCUUGUAGAAACAAGUUUUUUAAAAGAUAGAAAAAUAAUGUUAGUCAUUGUUUGGCAAAAUUUGACACGCAACUCAUUUAAGAAUGUUUUGUGAAAAUUACACUGUAUAUUAUGACUAGCAAGAGAGGUACAAAAUAUUCCUGGAGACUCGACGCAUUAUUUAUAAAUGCUUUGUAAAGGCUAAUUUUAUGUCGACGGAGAAAACAGGCGAGGCUUUCACACAACACAAAAGAAAAGAGAACAAAAAAGAUCCCCUUUGGCCAUUGCAACAUGACGUCAUCCUAAGCAAGGGACCAACCUGUAGAGGACUUGAAGCUGCCAACUUUGGUGGAAAGUUAAUUUCUUCGAAAUUGUUGGACUUUCAGUGCAAUAUGGUCUAUGGCUAUGUUGCACAUUCAAGAAGGUGAAAGAUCUAGGAAAGCUUAAUCAUAGAAUUUGUUAUGGGGGUUUUAUUUUUGUGGGGUCUUGGGGGGGGGGGGGGGUUCUUGUUUUCCUAAAUUCUUGAACUUGUCCGACUGUAACGUUUAUAAAUUACAGCUGCAAUCAAUCCAAUGGAAUUUUGCUGAUCUAGUAAAUGUAAAAAAUACUAGCUUUGAUUCAUAUGUAGCCAUUCGAGAUAUCUGAAGAUCUCUGCUUGAAUUUGCUAAAGAAUUUCUAGUAAAUGUAAAACACCAAUAUUGAUUAUAAGUAACCCAAAAAGAAAAUGAGAAAAAGUUUUUAUCUUUCAUCCAGAUGAUGAGAAAAAAAUUUAACUUUCAUCCGGAAGGAGCCAUUCGAGAAAUAUCAUCCCUGCUUCAAUUUGCUAGAAAAUCUAGCUGAAGUAUAGGCCGCAAUUUCAGUCCCCAAGAAAGGGCUUGAGACCAAAUAUGGAACGUGUUAAAAGACGCUACAUGUCCAGUCACUUUCCAAGCAUGUACUUAAUUCUCUUUGCCAGAUUGUUUUCCAGGGAUUUUCAUCUGGUUGAAACUUUCACUGAAUAUGGUAAGCAAACAAACACCACAGAAGCUGCACAUCAAGAAAACAACUAUGCCAUUGCAAUUUUAUCGCCCAAAAAUCGGUUUGAGUUAUGAAUACUGAAGACUUUUUUUUUUCUUAAUCAAAAACUGAGUCAGACUAUUACUCUUUAAUUUCUGACGUUCUUGGGGUUAUUAUUAUUACAACAAAAUGGGGUUUACAUGGUAACUUAAGGGGAAGGAUGCUCAAUAUAGACGGAUGGUAACCACUCUUUCAGGCAACUUUU